Neodiprion virginianus is the source of this 251-nucleotide long non-coding RNA. RefSeq lists it as uncharacterized. The transcript has 3 exons. The record is from RefSeq and is a predicted model, not a curated record. NCBI's taxonomy places the organism in Eukaryota, Metazoa, Arthropoda, Insecta, Hymenoptera, Diprionidae.
ACACGUGCGUCUUGUUGACAGUAGCUAGUUACGUGUGCGAGAGUGAGUCAGUGAACCGUGUGAAGACAAAAAUCACGCACUUCAUCUUUCUUGCCAAUUUAAGAUUCCAGCAGCGAGGAGCUUCAAUGACCAGCUAAUAACAUCGCCCUUUUGUGACAAUUGAUGAUGAGUAAAUUUUUCUUCCACUGUCCAAAAGUAUACCCGUGGUGGUUAUCGGUGGUUGUUGGAGGUGGUCGUAGGUCGACGAGGAG